Molecule: unclassified non-coding RNA, 206 nt
Filed under: uncultured Cortinarius
Lineage: Eukaryota; Fungi; Basidiomycota; Agaricomycetes; Agaricales; Cortinariaceae
Description: sequence contains ITS2
Source: RNAcentral
AUAUAUCAACCUCUUCAGCUUUUUGCAUGUUGAGUGUUGGAUGUGGGGGUAUCUCUUGCUGGACUCUAUAAAAUGAGGUCAGCUCCCCUAAAAUGCAUCAGCGAAACGAUUUGUUUACCGCUCAUUGGUGUGAUAACUAUCUACGCUAUUGACGGUGACGCAAGUUUAGCUUCUAACAGUCCAUUAACUUGGACAAUCUCUUAUUA